Molecule: ribosomal RNA, 508 nt
Filed under: uncultured bacterium
Lineage: Bacteria
Description: partial 16S ribosomal RNA
Rfam family: Bacterial small subunit ribosomal RNA
Source: RNAcentral
GACGAACGCUGGCGGCGUGCCUAAUACAUGCAAGUCGAACGCUUCUUUCCUCCCGAGUGCUUGCACUCAAUUGGAAAGAGGGGUGGCGGACGGGUGAGUAACACGUGUGUAACUUACCCAUCAAAGGGGGAUAACAAUUGGAAACAGGACCUAAUACCGCAUACCAGUUUAUGCCGCAUGGCAUAAGAGUUAAAGGCGCUUUCGGGGGCGGUGGAGGGAUGGACCGGCGGGGCAUUAGCUAGUUGGUGAGGUAACGGCUCACCAAGGCCACGAGGCAUAGACGACCUGAGAGGGUGAUCGGCCACACUGGGACUGAGACACGGCCCAGACUCCUACGGGAGGCAGCAGUAGGGAAUCUUCGGCAAUGGACGAAAGUCUGACCGAGCAACGCCGCGUGAGUGAAGAAGGUUUUCGGAUCGUAAAGCUCUGUUGUUAGGGAAGAACAAGGACGUUAGUAACUGAACGUCCCCUGACGGUACCUAACCAGAAAGCCACGGCUAACUACGUG